This 72-nucleotide transfer RNA is filed under the name Corynebacterium pseudotuberculosis. Its description in RNAcentral is "tRNA-Val". Lineage: Bacteria; Bacillati; Actinomycetota; Actinomycetes; Mycobacteriales; Corynebacteriaceae. The record is from RNAcentral.
GCAUUUCAAUUUAUGUGCAGUGUGAAGUGCUGUGGGAGUGAGCCCCAAGCAAUGCCGUCCUUAUUCCUGUCG